This 219-nucleotide long non-coding RNA is filed under the name Sorghum bicolor (sorghum). RNAcentral's name for it is "long non-coding RNA (SBIC_LNC012195)". The record is from RNAcentral. Lineage: Eukaryota; Viridiplantae; Streptophyta; Magnoliopsida; Poales; Poaceae.
ACCAAAGGUUAUAUGAUUAAGACCAAUGUGAAAAUAUCUAGGAAAAACAUGGUCUUGUAGGGCUAGGUCUAAACCAUAAUUUAUAGAAAGAUUAAUAGAUUCCCUAGGUGUAGCUAAAAGUGCAUUAUCUUUUUGAUUAAAAGAUAGGACCUCGGCUAUAGAAAAGGGUUGGUUUUGACCUAUUGCAAUCAACUCCGGACACAGAUCAUAAUUAGGGGC